RNAcentral lists this transfer RNA (62 nucleotides) under Camellia brevistyla. Its description in RNAcentral is "tRNA-Thr". The record is from RNAcentral. Lineage: Eukaryota; Viridiplantae; Streptophyta; Magnoliopsida; Ericales; Theaceae.
AUUCUAUUAAAUUAGAAAAUAAUAGAUUUCUAUAUCUAUCUAUUUAAUAUAGAUAUAGAAUA